UGCCAGCCGCCGCGGUAAUACGGAGGGUGCAAGCGUUAAUCGGAAUCACUGGGCGUAAAGGGCGCGUAGGCGGUUCGAUCAGUCGGGUGUGAAAGCCCCGGGCUCAACCCGGGAACUGCAUUCGAUACUGUCGAGCUUGAGUGUGGUAGUGGGAAGCGGAAUUCCCGGUGUAGCGGUGAAAUGCGUAGAUAUCGGGAAGAACACCAGUGGCGAAGGCGGCCUCCUGGACCAACACUGACGCUGAGGCGCGAAAGCGUGGGUAGCGAACGGGAUUAGAUA
Molecule: ribosomal RNA, 279 nt
Filed under: uncultured bacterium
Lineage: Bacteria
Description: partial 16S ribosomal RNA
Rfam family: Bacterial small subunit ribosomal RNA
Source: RNAcentral